This 174-nucleotide ribosomal RNA is filed under the name uncultured bacterium. Its description in RNAcentral is "partial 16S ribosomal RNA". It matches the Rfam family "Bacterial small subunit ribosomal RNA", at positions 338 to 524 of the family's 1533-position model. The record is from RNAcentral.
CCUACGGGAGGCAGCAGUGGGGAAUAUUGCACAAUGGGGGAAACCCUGAUGCAGCGACGCCGCGUGAGUGAUGACGGCCUUCGGGUUGUAAACCUCUUUCAGUAGGGAAGAAGCGAAAGUGACGGUACCUGCAGAAGAAGCGCCGGCUAACUACGUGCCAGCAGCCGCGGUAAU